AUUGAACGCUGGCGGCAUGCUUUACACAUGCAAGUCGAACGGUAACAGGCCGCAAGGUGCUGACGAGUGGCGAACGGGUGAGUAAUGCAUCGGAACGUGCCCAGUCGUGGGGGAUAACUACUCGAAAGAGUAGCUAAUACCGCAUACGAUCUAUGGAUGAAAGCGGGGGACCGUAAGGCCUCGCGCGAUUGGAGCGGCCGAUGUCAGAUUAGGUAGUUGGUGGGGUAAAGGCUCACCAAGCCAACGAUCUGUAGCUGGUCUGAGAGGACGACCAGCCACACUGGGACUGAGACACGGCCCAGACUCCUACGGGAGGCAGCAGUGGGGAAUUUUGUACAAUGGGCGCAAGCCUGAUCCAGCAAUGCCGCGUGCAGGAAGAAGGCCUUCGGGUUGUAAACUGCUUUUGUACGGAACGAAACGGCUCUGGUUAAUACCCGGGGCUAAUGACGGUACCGUAAGAAUAAGCACCGGCUAACUACGUG
Molecule: ribosomal RNA, 482 nt
Filed under: uncultured bacterium
Lineage: Bacteria
Description: partial 16S ribosomal RNA
Rfam family: Bacterial small subunit ribosomal RNA
Source: RNAcentral